This 256-nucleotide ribosomal RNA is filed under the name uncultured Gardnerella sp. RNAcentral describes it as "partial 16S ribosomal RNA". It matches the Rfam family "Bacterial small subunit ribosomal RNA", at positions 99 to 355 of the family's 1533-position model. The record is from RNAcentral. Lineage: Bacteria; Bacillati; Actinomycetota; Actinomycetes; Bifidobacteriales; Bifidobacteriaceae.
CGAACGGGUGAGUAAUGCGUGACCAACCUGCCCCAUGCUCCAGAAUAGCUCUUGGAAACGGGUGGUAAUGCUGGAUGCUCCAACUUGACGCAUGUCUUGUUGGGAAAGUGUUUAGUGGCAUGGGAUGGGGUCGCGUCCUAUCAGCUUGUAGGCGGGGUAAUGGCCCACCUAGGCUUCGACGGGUAGCCGGCCUGAGAGGGCGGACGGCCACAUUGGGACUGAGACACGGCCCAAACUCCUACGGGAGGCAGCAGUC